AGGAUGAACGCUAGCGGCAGGCCUAAUACAUGCAAGCUGAACGGUAAAUAUUGUAGCAAUACAAUAUGAGAGUAGCGUAAGGGUGCGUAACACGUAUGCAAUCUGCCCUGUACAGGAGAAUAGCUCGGACGAAAGCCGGAUUAAUGCUCCGUAAUAUUAUGGUGUGGCAUCACAUUAUAAUUAAAGUUGCAAGAUGGUACAGGAUGAGCAUGCGU
RNAcentral lists this ribosomal RNA (215 nucleotides) under uncultured soil bacterium. RNAcentral's name for it is "partial 16S ribosomal RNA". It matches the Rfam family "Bacterial small subunit ribosomal RNA", at positions 26 to 236 of the family's 1533-position model. The record is from RNAcentral.